This 497-nucleotide ribosomal RNA is filed under the name uncultured bacterium. Its description in RNAcentral is "partial 16S ribosomal RNA". It matches the Rfam family "Bacterial small subunit ribosomal RNA", at positions 28 to 507 of the family's 1533-position model. The record is from RNAcentral.
GAUGAACGCUGGCGGCGUGCCUAAUACAUGCAAGUCGAGCGAACGGACGAGAAGCUUGCUUCUCUGAUGUUAGCGGCGGACGGGUGAGUAACACGUGGAUAACCUACCUAUAAGACUGGGAUAACUUCGGGAAACCGUAGCUAAUACCGGAUAAUAUUUUGAACCGCAUGGUUCAAAAGUGAAAGACGAUCUUGCUGUCACUUAUAGAUGGAUCCGCGCUGCAUUAGCUAGUUGGUAAGGUAACGGCUUACCAAGGCAACGAUGCAUAGCCGACCUGAGAGGGUGAUCGGCCACACUGGAACUGAGACACGGUCCAGACUCCUACGGGAGGCAGCAGUAGGGAAUCUUCCGCAAUGGGCGAAAGCCUGACGGAGCAACGCCGCGCGAGUGAUGAAGGUCUUCGGAUCGUAAAACUCUGUUAUUAGGGAAGAACAUAUGUGUAAGUAACUGUGCACAUCUUGACGGUACCUAAUCAGAAAGCCACGGCUAACUACGUG